UUUAUUCGUUAGUUUGAUAUGAAGAAAACGAGAAGAAGAACAACAUAUUGUUUAUUUUCUCUCAAUUAGUUGAGCUGUAUUCACCGGUUUUUCAGAUCUGACGAGAUUGUGAAGAUGCAUUGAAGAACAACAAAUAGAGGUAGAAGAGAGGUUGGAAUAGAGGAAGCUCAAAUAUAGAUUUGGAAUUUUUUGAUACGAAGAAGAGGAAGAAGAAACCAGAUUAUUUCAGAAGAGCAAUAACAAAA
Long non-coding RNA from Papaver somniferum (opium poppy), 245 nucleotides. RefSeq lists it as uncharacterized. The transcript is spliced from 3 exons. The record is from RefSeq and is a predicted model, not a curated record. NCBI's taxonomy places the organism in Eukaryota, Viridiplantae, Streptophyta, Magnoliopsida, Ranunculales, Papaveraceae.